UACGGAGGGGGCUAGCGUUGUUCGGAAUUACUGGGCGUAAAGCGCACGUAGGCGGCUUUUUAAGUCUGACGUGAAAGCCCAGGGCUUAGCCUUGGAAGUGCGCCAGAAACUGGAAGGCUAGAGUGCCGGAGGGGAGAGUGGAAUUCCUGGUGUAGCGGUGAAAUGCGUAGAUAUCAGGAGGAAUACCGGUGGCGAAAGCGACUCUCUGGACGGUAACUGACGCUGAGGCACGAAAGCGUGGGGAGCAAACAGG
RNAcentral lists this ribosomal RNA (253 nucleotides) under uncultured bacterium. RNAcentral's name for it is "partial 16S ribosomal RNA". It matches the Rfam family "Bacterial small subunit ribosomal RNA", at positions 524 to 776 of the family's 1533-position model. The record is from RNAcentral.